UACGAAGGGGGCUAGCGUUGCUCGGAAUCACUGGGCGUAAAGCGCACGUAGGCGGCUUUUUAAGUCAGGGGUGAAAUCCUGGAGCUCAACUCCAGAACUGCCUUUGAUACUGAGAAGCUGAAGUCCGGGAGAGGUGAGUGGAACUGCGAGUGUAGAGGUGAAAUUCGUAGAUAUUCGCAAGAACACCAGUGGCGAAGGCGGCUCACUGGCCCGGUACUGACGCUGAGGUGCGAAAGCGUGGGGAGCAAACAGG
RNAcentral lists this ribosomal RNA (253 nucleotides) under uncultured bacterium. RNAcentral's name for it is "partial 16S ribosomal RNA". It matches the Rfam family "Bacterial small subunit ribosomal RNA", at positions 524 to 776 of the family's 1533-position model. The record is from RNAcentral.